Non-coding RNA from Sus scrofa (pig), 2407 nucleotides. The record is from RefSeq and is a predicted model, not a curated record. NCBI's taxonomy places the organism in Eukaryota, Metazoa, Chordata, Mammalia, Artiodactyla, Suidae.
ACAUUUUUUGUGGCACCUGUGCCAAUCUAGGUACCUUGUCUCUCAAGAGUUCUACCUGCGUUUCUAACUGUGCUUCCAUCUGAGCUUUUUUCCCCGUGUCUAAGCGGGUUUCCGGGAGCCGCCCUGAGCGCAGGGGUUGAAAUAAACAAGGCUCUCGGGAACCGGGAGGCGGGGAGUCUCACGCUUGGGGCGGAGGCGGCCGAGGUGAGCGCUCUGGGCGCCUGUGAGAAGGGAAGGCCCCGGCUGCUGGGCAGUCCUUGCGCUAAAGGGGAGGAGAAAGGACCUCCAGCUGGCAUGGGUCCGAGGCCAGCACGUCCUGCUGAGCCGCCGAGGGAAUGAGAGGCGAGGGCUGCGAGCUGUUGUUGGAAGGAAACGCAACCUUUGUUUUCUCAGAGGCAGAACUCUGGACACGCAAAUAUCUGUCUUGAGUCUCGGACGUACAGGUUCCGAGCCGCCGGCCUCCUGAGGUCCUCCGGUGUGAAAGGGGCGGGUGCUCGGGGCGGCUGGAGGAGCCCUGGGUCUCUUCCUCAAGGCGUCUCCCCAAACCUCACUUUCCAUCUGAGCCUUUUUUUUUUUUCUGGCCUCUACCUCUGUAUCGCAAGGAGCCGACUUGAAGGCAGGUCUUGCGAAUGAAAGCGGAUUGAUUUAAAGACUCAAGACGCAGUGGGUGGGGAGGCGGAGAGUUUGAAUGUCCGGGGAUCGGGUAGGCUGCGUGCGGGAGACUGAGAAGGACCCAGUGUCUGGGGUACUUCACUGUGCUGGGUGGCUGAGGAGCAGUGAAAUCAAGCGGCCAGGGCCCAAGGAGAGGGUAGCUGCAGGGGCUGCUGAGGGAACCGGGAGGAAGGGCUGAGGGAUGGGGUCAGAGCAGAUGGUCACCAGGCCGCACGGAGCCCCGGCGGAGACCCUCUGCCGCUGCCUGGCAGCACAUUCGAAUAGGCUCAGAGCCCGAGUGGAAGAAGGAAUGUGGGAGCACUCAGCACAGGCUCAUCGAUUUGGGGGUGGUUGGGGUGCCUCCAACACUCUGACCCAAAUGGCCUCACCUCAGGGAGGGGACUUAACACCUUCAGCAUCUGAUGGGCGUUUCCAGCCUGCCUGGGUGGCCCAGCUGCGGGAGAGUUUGACAGGUUCUCUGGGGAUGGAUUGCUUUCUGUUUCUCAGAGGCAGGACUCUGGACGGGAAAUGUCUGUCUUGAAUCUUGGCCCCGCCCCCCACCCAGGUCAUUGUCAUGCGUCAAAGGGGCUGAUGGUCGGGAAGGGAGCGUCUAACAGUGGUGCUGGUUCCACUGGGCGACUGUGCAAUUCGCUAGGCUUUGCGCUGCAAGACCCCUCCCCCAAAUUCCCUCCUCUCUUUCCUUUGGGGCCUCGUUUUCCUGUCCCCAAGCCCUGUUUCAGGGAGCAGACUUAAAGGUCUCGGGAAUUAAAGUAGGGUAAUUAAAAGGAUUUUAAUGCAUUAAGUUGGGGUGGGGGGGGUGCGUGCUGGGAGUCUUUAAGAGAAUUGCCCCUCUUUCUGGGCACUUCACUUGGCUUAGAAGGUGAGGAGGAAUUCUAUCAAGCUGGCAGUUGCCCAAGGCCAGGAGAGCCCUGGGGGGCUGCUGAGGGAAACCGGAGGAAAGGCUGAGAGUCAGUGUUAGAGGAGACGGCCUCCGGAAGGGGCCAGAGCACAGACAAAGCCCAUCUGAAGCCCCCUGGCUGCACCUCCAGGCUACGAGGUGGUGCCAAGAGGGGUUAGUGGGAGUCCUAGGAUGUGUUAAGAUGGCUCACAGGGCGCUAUUGACUCUCUGGCACAAAUUGACUCGCAUCAGGGAGCAGAAAGAUGUUUGCUUUCUGCAUCUGAUGGGUAGUUCCAUCCAGCUCUGGCUGCCCAGGGGCCAGAGAGGUGGACACAUUCUCUGGGGUUGGUUUGCUCUUAGUUUCUCAGGGGGCAGGGACACUGGACCCACAAUAUCUGCUUGAAUCUUGGCCUCACAAUUACCAAUCCUGCAGCUUCUGUAAAGUCAUCACAUGUCCAACGGGGCUGGUGGUCAUGAAGGGAGCUUGUGAAAGUGGUGCUAUUUUGAGGGGGCAGACAGGAAUCCCUGGGCUUUAUCUUUCAGGAGUUCUCCCCAGAUUCUUUCUUCCCCUUCCAUCUGAACCUCUAUGUCCUGUCUGCAAUCGCUGUUUCAAGGAGCAGAACUAAGGGAAGGGCCUGAGAGGGAAGGCAGCUGGGACUGAUUUAAAGAAGGCUCUCGCGCCCAGAAACACGCUACGGGCUGGGGUGUGACAAUCUCAGAGCCGGAACUCACCCCACACCCUGAAAUCAACAACCCCACUUGCCACCCUCCUUUUAAGUCAGGACAGCAGGCUUUGAAUCAGCAGCCUUCCUCCCUGGGACUCUGCUUGGAAUCCUAAACAAAUCAGCUGUGAUUCAC